This 598-nucleotide ribosomal RNA is filed under the name Gnathostoma doloresi. RNAcentral's name for it is "eukaryotic LSU rRNA". It matches the Rfam family "Eukaryotic large subunit ribosomal RNA", at positions 1 to 591 of the family's 3401-position model. Lineage: Eukaryota; Metazoa; Nematoda; Chromadorea; Rhabditida; Gnathostomatidae. The record is from RNAcentral.
CGUAGACCUCAACUCAGACGUGAUUACCCGCUGAAUUUAAGCAUAUAACUAAGCGGAGGAAAGUAAACUAACGAGGACUCUCGUAGUAACGGCGAGUGAACGGAGAUGUGUCCAGCGCUGAAUCCUGCAACCGUCGGUUGUGUGGAGCUGUAGCGUAUAGGUGCGGCUUUCGGCGUACGAUGCUCGACCGAAGUUCCCUUGAUUGGGACCACUGUCCGGAGUAGGUGCGAGACCUGUGCGGUUGAGCGGAGUGUGCUGGUUGCCGUUCCUUGGAGUCGGGUUGCCUGGGAACGCAGCCCGAAGAUGGUGGUAAACCUCAUCUAAGACUAAGUAUCGACACGAGACCGAUAGCGAACAAGUACCGUAAGGGAAAGUUGCAAAGUACUUUGAAAAGAGAGUUCAAGAGAACGUGAGACCGAUAGGGUGGAAGCGAAUUGAGCCAACAGACGGCGACGGUAUUCAACCGGUUGUUUGUCCGAAUGCGACUCGUGACGGUCGCUCGCUUCGGCGGCACGUUUGCGUCGAGUGUUCGGUCUCCUGCUGCUGGUGUAUUUAUCGUCGUUUUGCGUUGCGGGCGUCUUUUGUGUGGACGCUGGUC